AUUUUUUUAUUAUGCUAUAUAUAUUUUUUUUUAUGCUUUGGAAAGUUGGGGGAUUAAAGGGAUAUAUGGGUUAAUUCAAUUUUAUUUGGAUCAAAUAUUUAGAUUUUGAUACGGCAAUGAUAAUUAUAUCAAUAUUGGGCUCAUUAGGUAGUUUGUGUUUAAUCACGUAUAGUAGACUCGAGAAAAAGUUAAUUCGGAUAAGUUAGAUUCAAGAUAUUGCAGUUUAUAGAUGUUAUAAAUAAUUAGAUAUUUAUUAAGUUUGUUUAAUAAAUUCUUGAUGACUAGGACACAUGUAGGAUAUGUAUGUAUGUAUCUAUCUUCUAAUCUAAUCUAAAAAGGUUGAACCUCAACCUUCAGGGCCUUACCGCCCCGCCCCUAGAGUUUUGUGAGGAAGUAAAUCUCGGGAUGUGCUCCAACAGGUCAGGGAACAAGAGUUGCUUGUACACUACGCCUACAAAGAGUUCAAUUCCAUGUCUCAGGAAUCGAACCUCCAUACUGCGGCUGCCAGCAAAUCUUCUAAUCUAAUCUAACUACUAUAUAAGAGGGAGUUAUACUUUACGGUUCACAAGCCGUUUAAGCCAUUUAACUAAGCCAGGCCGUGUUAUCCUAUAAGUCUGACUAUUACACUGCUUCAGUACAACUCAUCCAACCAUGUCUCAUUAAUGGUGGUUGGACUAACUAACCAUUUCUUCUCUCUGACAUUUUAUCUCUCUUUCAUUGCUUCUUCACUCCAUUUCACACGCAACCACCAUGUCUGUUUACUCUGUAGAUUUUUUUUAUCUUCUUGUCAAUUUUUUUUCUCUUUUUGUAUGUCUUUCUCUCUCGCUAUUCUCUCUGCUCUAAUUGGUAGCAGUUAGAUCUGUACGAGGAAUUCCCAUGGAGAUGUCCUGAAGAUGGAAUUAGAUACAAGCAAAUUGUAGAAAGGAAGCGGCUAUAGAUGUUUCUAAUUGGACUCAACAAAGAUAUUGAUGCUAUUUGACAGAGAAUUCAAGGAACAAAACCACACCGUUAGCCUUCGAGAAGCAUUCUCUGAUGUCCAACUUAAAGAGAGCAGAAAAAGUCCUUUUUUUAAGUCCGACUACAAGAAAAUAAAUACAAUAGUAGUGUUUAAAAUUUGCAAUUCAUGGUUUCUUUUUGAUGUCUUUCACUACUAGGCCGUAUAUUAUAGUAGCUUGUUUUAAAUGGAAGGAAUAAUUGUGUAAAAAAAAAAAAAAAAGAAGUUCUCUC
RNAcentral lists this long non-coding RNA (1227 nucleotides) under Olea europaea subsp. europaea. The record is from RNAcentral. Lineage: Eukaryota; Viridiplantae; Streptophyta; Magnoliopsida; Lamiales; Oleaceae.